RNAcentral lists this ribosomal RNA (911 nucleotides) under Oculimacula acuformis. RNAcentral describes it as "partial large subunit ribosomal RNA". It matches the Rfam family "Eukaryotic large subunit ribosomal RNA", at positions 34 to 962 of the family's 3401-position model. Lineage: Eukaryota; Fungi; Ascomycota; Leotiomycetes; Helotiales; Ploettnerulaceae. The record is from RNAcentral.
UUAAGCAUAUCAAUAAGCGGAGGAAAAGAAACCAACAGGGAUUACCUCAGUAACGGCGAGUGAAGCGGUAACAGCUCAAAUUUGAAAGCUAGCUCUUUUAGGGUUCGCAUUGUAAUUUGUAGAAGAUGCUUCGGGUGUGGCCCCGGUCUAAGUUCCUUGGAACAGGACGUCAUAGAGGGUGAGAAUCCCGUAUGUGACUGGGUGCUUUCGCUCAUGUGAAGCUCUUUCGACGAGUCGAGUUGUUUGGGAAUGCAGCUCAAAAUGGGUGGUAAAUUUCAUCUAAAGCUAAAUAUUGGCCAGAGACCGAUAGCGCACAAGUAGAGUGAUCGAAAGAUGAAAAGCACUUUGGAAAGAGAGUUAAACAGUACGUGAAAUUGUUGAAAGGGAAGCGCUUGCAACCAGACUUGCGCGCUGAUGAUCAUCCGGGCUUCUGUCCGGUGCACUCGUCUGCGCUCAGGCCAGCAUCGGUUUCGGUGGUGGGAUAAAGGCCUUGGGAAUGUAGCUCCUCUCGGGGAGUGUUAUAGCCCUCGGUGCAAUGCCGCCUACCGGGACCGAGGACCGCGCUUCGGCUAGGAUGCUGGCGUAAUGGUUGUAAGCGACCCGUCUUGAAACACGGACCAAGGAGUCUAACAUCUAUGCGAGUGUUUGGGUGUCAAACCCAUACGCGUAAUGAAAGUGAACGGAGGUGAGAACCCUUAAGGGUGCAUCAUCGACCGGUCCUGAUGUCUUCGGAUGGAUCUGAGUAAGAGCAUAGCUGUUGGGACCCGAAAGAUGGUGAACUAUGCGUGAAUAGGGUGAAGCCAGAGGAAACUCUGGUGGAGGCUCGCAGCGGUUCUGACGUGCAAAUCGAUCGUCAAAUUUGCGUAUAGGGGCGAAAGACUAAUCGAACCAUCUAGUAGCUGGUUCCUGCC